AGUGUCAAUUUUUGGCUGCAAGUCAUUGAUAUCGAAGACAAGGAGAUCAAAGAACUAAUUGGAUUCCGGGUUUUUGUUAUUGCUGAGAGGCAUGAGUGGAGCAGGUGGUUUGAGUGGGAAAAUCCGGUCGAAGAUGGGCUGUCAGUGGGUAUGGGCGGCAAUGAUUGUGAGCCAUUUGUAGUAAAGGAGGAGGAUUUCAAGUUUCAUUCUAGGGUUGAUCCAAUAUCUUCUACGAGUUCGGGCGUGUUCGUGAACCUUAGCGCUGUUAUGCUUAGACUGUGUGAGCCGUUUUUGGAUGCAAAUUCAACAAAGAAAGACAUAAUUGACCCUAGAUACGUAUUUUAUGGUUCUUGAUUGGAUUUCAA
Long non-coding RNA from Helianthus annuus (common sunflower), 365 nucleotides. RefSeq lists it as uncharacterized. The transcript is spliced from 3 exons. Lineage: Eukaryota; Viridiplantae; Streptophyta; Magnoliopsida; Asterales; Asteraceae. The record is from RefSeq and is a predicted model, not a curated record.